CCUACGGGAGGCAGCAGUGGGGAAUAUUGGACAAUGGGGGGAACCCUGAUCCAGCGACGCCGCGUGAGUGAAGAAGUAUUUCGGUAUGUAAAGCUCUAUCAGCAGGGAAGAAAGAAAUGACGGUACCUGACUAAGAAGCCCCGGCUAACUACGUGCCAGCAGCCGCGGUAAUACGUAGGGGGCAAGCGUUAUCCGGAUUUACUGGGUGUAAAGGGAGCGUAGACGGUUACGCAAGUCUGGAGUGAAAGGCGGGGGCCCAACCCCCGGACUGCUUUGGAACCUGUAUAACGGGAGUGCAGGGUAGGUAAGUGGAAUUCCUAGGGUAGCGGUGAAAGGCGUAGAUAUUAGGAGGAACACCAGUGGCGAAGGCGGCUUACUGGACUGUAACUGACGUUGAGGCUCGAAAGCGUGGGGAGCAAACAGGAUUAGAUACCCGGGUAGUC
Molecule: ribosomal RNA, 443 nt
Filed under: uncultured bacterium
Lineage: Bacteria
Description: partial 16S ribosomal RNA
Rfam family: Bacterial small subunit ribosomal RNA
Source: RNAcentral